This 410-nucleotide ribosomal RNA is filed under the name Sphenomorphus variegatus. RNAcentral describes it as "partial 12S ribosomal RNA". It matches the Rfam family "Bacterial small subunit ribosomal RNA", at positions 778 to 1396 of the family's 1533-position model. The record is from RNAcentral. Lineage: Eukaryota; Metazoa; Chordata; Lepidosauria; Squamata; Scincidae.
UUAGAUACCCCACUAUGCUCAGCCCUAAACACAAACAGUAUUUAUACAAGAUUGUUCGCCAGAGAACUACAAGUGAAAAACUAAAAACUCCAAGGACUUGGCGGUGCUUCAAACCAACCUAGAGGAGCCUGUCCUAUAAUCGAUACCCCACGUUCUACCUUACCACCCCUAGUACAUCAGUCUAUAUACCGCCGUCGCAAGCCUACCUUAUGAAAGAAAAAAAGUAGGCAAAACAACUAAUGCUUAGAACGACAGGUCAAGGUGUAGCACACGGGCUGGCAGAGAUGGGCUACAUUCUCUAAAUAGCACACAGAAAACAUGUUGAAACACAUGCUUGAAGGCGGAUUUAGCAGUAAGAUGGACAAGAAAAUCUACCUAAAACCUGCUCUGAAGCGCGCACACACCGCCCG